Molecule: RNA transcript, 5046 nt
Organism: Brienomyrus brachyistius
Lineage: Eukaryota; Metazoa; Chordata; Actinopteri; Osteoglossiformes; Mormyridae
Gene name: piggyBac transposable element-derived protein 4-like
Exons: 2
Source: RefSeq, a predicted model, not a curated record
AAAGGUAUAAAAGCAUCACUUACAUCUUUGUACUGCAUCAAGGCUUUUUGACUUUGUCAGGAACAUAUAUUUAACCAAAAUGUAUUUAUUUUUCACUAAAUUAUACAUGCUCUGGUCAAGAUUAUAACAGCUAUGGUGUUUGGGCCAUGUCCCAGUUAUAAAAUAAGAUUAUAAAACAACAAUUAGUACACAAACUGAAAUCAUAAACACACUGUCAGCUCACUAACACUGUCUCUCCCUGAGAGGGCAAGCAAAACAAACACCCAAAGGCAAGGCAUGCCCUGACAUGCAAGGCAAGAUAAGACCAAUUCAGUUUAGAGCUGGUGACUUGCAGAGUGCACAUCUCCAGUUUGCAGCCUGUGAAAAUGGAUCAUGUCUUAGCUGAAAAUGAGGCAGAGGACACAGAGCAGUACAGUGAUAUGGAUGAGCAGGUAUCUGAGGAGGAAGACGUUGUGGAGUAUCAAUCAGACAUAGACACACCUGAUGAGUCUGAGAAGGUCACCGGUGCUGAAGCUGCUCCAGUAGUAAAAUCCGAAAUUGAGAACAUCUGUUGGAGCUCAGUACCUCCUGAUGUACAUGGCAGGACAGCUGCUGAAAAAAUCAGAAAGACCCCUGGCAUCACAAGGUUUGCUGUGACGAGAGUAAGUGACAUCAAGACUUGUUUUGACCUGUUUAUGCCAUUGUCACUAAAAAAAGUCAUCAUUGCUAUGACAAACCUGGAGGGGAAAAAAGUCUACAGUGACAUGUGGCAUGACAUUGAUGAGGAACAGCUGGAUGCUUAUAUCGGUGUUCUUCUUCUUCUGGGAGUAUACAGAUCUAGCAAUGAGGCCACUGAAAGUCUCUGGGAUGCGUCGACAGGCAGAAAUAUUUUCCGGGCAACAAUGUCACUUAAGACCUUUCAAAUGAUAACGAGAGUCCUCAGAUUUCACAACAAAGUCACUAAAGCAAGAUCUGACAAGCUUGCUCCCAUAAGAGAUGUCUGGGAGAGAUGGGUCAAGCGCCUUUCGCUGAUGUUCAACCCUGGGCCAGAGGUGACAGUAGAUGAACGUUUUGUCCCGUUCCGUGGAAGAUGCCCCUUCCGGCAAUACAUGCCCAGUAAACCAGGCAAAUACGGUAUAAAAAUCUGGGCGGUCUGUGACGCAAAAACCAGCUUUGCAUGGAAUCUACAGAUUUACACAGGCAAGCCUGCGGGUGGCAUCCCUAAGAACCAAGGAAAACGUGUAGUGCUCGAUAUGACUGCUGGACUCCAGGGUCACAAUAUCACAUGUGCCAGUUUUUUUACCAGCUAUGACCUUGGGCAAGAGCUUCUCAAGAGGAAACUUACCAUGGUGGGUGCAAUAAGAAAACAUAAACCUGAACUGCCCACUGAAAUUUUGCAGGUGAAGGACAGGGCUCCACUUUCUUCAAAAUUUGCUUUUACUGACACCACCACUAUUGUUUCAUAUUGUCCAAACAAAAGCCAAAAUGUGAUACUUAUGUCCACUUUUCACAAAGAUGCAGCUGUGUCACCAGGAAGUGACAAAAAGCCCAUGAUUAUCCUGGACUAUAAUAAAAACAAAGGAGGCGUGGACAACCUGGACAAGCUAACUGCCACCUACACAUGCCAGCGAAUGACCAGGAGAUGGCCAAUGGUUGUGUUUUAUAAUAUCCUGGAUGUGUCUGCAUACAAUGCAUUCGUGUUGUGGACCCACAUCCACCUAGGGUGGAACUCAACCAAAAAACACAGGCGGAGACUGUUUCUUGAGCAGCUAGGAAAUUCUCUUGUCAAGGAGCACAUACAGCGAAGGGAACGAGUGCCCCGAGACCCAGCCGCCGCGGCCUUAGUCAGACAGCUGCAGAGCUCACCCAGCACUCCCUCUGCGCCGUCAGCAAGACGAAGAACAUCAGGGCCGGCAUCCUCCUCAGCCAGCCCUUCCUCAAAAUCCACCAGCACAGCCCCACUGAGGCCACCAGAUUCUAAAAGGAAGAGGUGUCAGGUCUGCCCUAGCAAUAAGGACAGAAAGACAAACACAUUGUGCUUCCACUGCAAAAAAUAUCUUUGUAAAGAACACACUGAAAGUGUCUCUUUUUGCCCGACAUGCAUCUAGAGGAUUCCUUCAGAGAUCCUGUGCAGUCUGUGCCUUGAUGGGUCAGAGCUUGAUGGGACCUACACAAUAUUAGGCAGGUGGUUUUAAUGUUAUGGCUCGCUCUCAUAAGAAAAGGACCCAGUUUGUACCUUUGCUUGUCACUGCUGCUGAUUGAUUCACCUGAACCUAGAGCCGAUCACAAAAUAGUGCCAGUCAGCCUUUACAGAGGCAUCAAAUUUAAUAGAUUUCUUUAAGAAAAGAUAAAAUUACUGACUUGCGUAACACUCAGCUUCCAAAAUGUUUAAAAAUUAGAGGCUGACACAUAGUAGAUAUAUGUUAGUGCACAUGAUCGUGUCAAUCGUACUGAGAAAUGCACCUACAUGCAUCUAACCGCACACAUGUACACAUGCAUGUUCUUGCACACUUUUUUUUGGAACUGCCACUUCAUUUCUAUUGGUUUCAUUUGCUUGACUGAUUUGUUUGUUUGACCUUGCAAAUCUACUUUUUGUAUUAUUACUUUUCUGCUAUUUUGUAUUUGUAUUGACCUUGCUGUCGUGUUGGGGUUGGCACCAACCCGUUUGUAAGUUUAAAAUGCAUAAAAGCACCACAGAAAUUUGUGUACUGCAUCAAGGCUUUUUGACUUGGUCAGGAAGCUCUAUUUAAACAAAAUGAUUAUUAUUUUUCAUUAGGCAAGGCAUGCCCAGACGUGCAAGGCAAGAUGAGACCAAUUCAGUUUAUAUAAUUCUUUUGAGGUUUAUUUCACCAUUAUUUUUUAAUUGAAAACGAGAGGUAUGUUGUCAAGAGGUCCAGAAAGCCGCACCAAAAAUAUCAAAACCAAUCUUUUCAUGGAUAAGGAAGCCUAACAAGGUAACCAAGAGAUAAGAAACACAUUGGAUAAUAAUUAUUUUGUGGCUGAUUUAAGGCACGAGUCCGCACCGGCGCGUUUAUCAUGAGAUAGGAACAGAAAGCUAACAGGACAAAGGUACCGAGUGAGUGACUGGUCCUUGUGGGAGAUGUGGAUGAUACUGUUGUAACUGUGCUACGUUCGUACGCAUUAGUGAUAGGUCUUUGAGUAGCGCCAUUGAUUUGCGUCAGUGUUGCCCAUAAGGAAAGUUUAAUCUAACUCCAAGAGGAUUACGGAACAAUUCUCCGACGUUUUGUUAGAGAUCAAGUAGUAACUGGGACCACAUUUUUAGAAUAUUCUUAUGUGGAAUGCGCUUGAUUGUCUCUGCAUAAUGGCAGUGCACCUACUGCCAGUGGUAUGCGCAUUAUGUCAGCAGGCAGGAUCACUGCACUCACACCAAGUGGCAGAAAUACUCCAGUUUCCGCGGUUUCAGCUUCAAUGCCACAAAACUGUUGUGCGAUUGAUUGUACAAAUUGACUUAAGGAUUAUGAGGUGUCUUGGUACAGACUGCCGAAAACUAAAGUAUCGGAUGUGAAUUGGUCACAUAUGGCCAGUACCUGAUCAGUCACAUAGUCUGGAUCUGUUUCCAGGUGCCCCGUAAGUCUUCAUGUUGACUGUUUAUCAGUGUGUCAUUUGGUUUUCUCACUAGAUGUCAUGUUCAGUCAGCCAUGAGUCUGGUUUUUGGACCCCCCCUUUUUACAGUGCAAUAGCGAGUUUGUUGCUUUUUACCACCUUGCAGUUAGACUGCCCUCCAGAGGCUGCGCAGUGCGACGAGGUGUGAUGUCUAUCAGUAGGUGGCGCAGAGCGAGGGGCUGCCACUACAGACAGUGCUCAGGAUUUUAUGGGUGCUCAGAAUGACUUGUAGCCGUACAGCUAGUUGUGGGAUUUCUGCGUAAGACAUAACGGUCAGGCUGCCUGCAGAUAAGAUGAUGUUUUUGAAUGUUAUCCUUUGAGUGCAGAAUGCUGCACUAUUGCACAAUGCCGUUUUCCUACCAAUGAGGGGCAUGAUUAGAUUGAAAUGUGUUGAAAAUGUUCAGGACCAUUGGAAGGCUUCUAUUAAUCUGAAAUUAUUUAUCAGGUGGAGGGAUGAGGCUUGAUGUCUGAAGUCUGCUGCCUUUUUCUAGGACCUGAGGGACAGAACCUUGAGGAAAUUUUGCAGCAUUUCCCGAAACUCAUCCAUGGAGGUGCCCCUGCUUGGCUUGUUGAAGAGGGCCAUCUCAUGUCGAAGCAUGGAGUCUGGACUCCCAUCCCGCCUUGAGCCAUCUUCAAGUCCACACUUUAUAACCACUGACUUCUCCUUCCAAACUCCACUGUACACCUGCAAGACAAUACCGUUCCAGAGAAUAAUGAAAUUCAUGUCUCUUGUGUUUUUGUUGAAGUGAUUUUCAUGUUCAUUUGAAUGCUGAUUGGAAAGCAAACUAUGCAGAUUUAACAUCCUUGACUCAUCAGGAUUAAUGCAACAGAUUUCCAAUAUGUGAUGAUGUACAACUGAAUGUAACCAUGAGAAGCAUGUCAAAUUGCCAGGAUAUGAAACUAGUAGCUAGAGUCCCCGGUGUGAUAGUAGGUAAAGUUCUCUACCAAGAAUGUGGGUGGUUAAUGCCCUGUGUCUUAUUAUUAAUUCUAGUUUGCCUAUUUCGAAUUUUUUUCUUUUUAAUGUCUCUAAUGCAUUUUUAAAAGCCUGUGAUUAAAGCUUCCAUGGGCUACCUGAUGAGUAGGCGAGGAGGACAAGCAGUGCUGCAGUUUCAGAGUGUGCUUUUCGCAGAGAGGCUUGCAGGAUGAUCCAGAGAUGAUGCCCCUCUUGUAAUGAUCACACUGGAGCAAAGAGAAUGAACAAAGGAAGCAGAGCCAAGUCACCCCCAAUAUCCUCAGUAAGACGCCCAAAACUUAAAAGCAUUAUACAUGGGAUUAGUGCUGGGAAAACCCCAAAUCUAGUUUUUCAAUGUAUUCAAUUAAACCAUGUACCAUGUAUCAUUAAACCAAUAUCUUUAUUGUCAUUGUACAACAAAGCUGUACACUGGGUAAUGAAGAGGAUAAUGACCACCAUUUAAACCCAAUUAAAUAAACCUCCUCCCCCAU